This 208-nucleotide ribosomal RNA is filed under the name uncultured bacterium. Its description in RNAcentral is "partial 16S ribosomal RNA". It matches the Rfam family "Bacterial small subunit ribosomal RNA", at positions 939 to 1154 of the family's 1533-position model. The record is from RNAcentral.
AUGUGGUUUAAUUCGAAGCAACGCGAAGAACCUUACCAGGUCUUGACAUCCGAUGCAUAGCUUAGAGAUAAGUGAAGUCCUUCGGGACAUCGAGACAGGUGGUGCAUGGUUGUCGUCAGCUCGUGUCGUGAGAUGUUGGGUUAAGUCCCGCAACGAGCGCAACCCUUAUUGCCAGUUACUACGCAAGAGGACUCUGGCGAGACUGCCG